This 136-nucleotide small RNA is filed under the name Bacillus sp. (in: firmicutes). RNAcentral describes it as "Bacillus sp. c-di-AMP sequence". It matches the Rfam family "c-di-AMP riboswitch aptamer (ydaO/yuaA leader)". Rfam says of the family: This family represents a conserved RNA structure found upstream of the ydaO and yuaA genes in Bacillus subtilis and related genes in other bacteria. The ydaO/yuaA element is thought to act as a genetic "off" switch for the ydaO and yuaA genes in its native state. RNAcentral also lists the same sequence under 1 other name. The record is from RNAcentral. Lineage: Bacteria; Bacillati; Bacillota; Bacilli; Caryophanales; Bacillaceae.
AUUUGAUAUCGGCCAAAUCUCAAUUUUGAGAACGGAGGACCCAAUUUUUGGGGUUAAUUCUGCAUGCAGAAGGGAUGAGUUACUCUUUCGCCAUCCUACCCGUCAGCUAACUUCGUCGGCUAAAGCGAAGGAGGUC